AGCUUUGCGCAGUGGCAGUAUCGUAGCCAAUGAGGUUUAUCCGAGGCGCGAUUAUUGCUAAUUGGAAUUGACAGUUGAGUGGCCUUAAGUAUCACAAAAGGUGGUGUUCCUGAAGCCUUUAUUUAUUUUUAAAGAU
This is a non-coding RNA of Canis lupus familiaris (dog), 136 nucleotides long. NCBI's taxonomy places the organism in Eukaryota, Metazoa, Chordata, Mammalia, Carnivora, Canidae. The record is from Rfam.